GGGUGAGUAACACGUGGAUAACCUACCUAUAAGACUGGGAUAACUUCGGGAAACCGGAGCUAAUACCGGAUAAUAUUUUGAACCGCAUGGUUCAAAAGUGAAAGACGGUCUUGCUGCCACUUAUAGAUGGAUCCGCGCUGCAUUAGCUAGUUGGUAAGGUAACGGCUUACCAAGGCAACGAUGCAUAGCCGACCUGAGAGGGUGAUCGGCCACACUGGAACUGAGACACGGUCCAG
This 236-nucleotide ribosomal RNA is filed under the name uncultured Staphylococcus sp. RNAcentral describes it as "partial 16S ribosomal RNA". It matches the Rfam family "Bacterial small subunit ribosomal RNA", at positions 104 to 334 of the family's 1533-position model. The record is from RNAcentral. Lineage: Bacteria; Bacillati; Bacillota; Bacilli; Caryophanales; Staphylococcaceae.